This 514-nucleotide ribosomal RNA is filed under the name uncultured bacterium. RNAcentral describes it as "partial 16S ribosomal RNA". It matches the Rfam family "Bacterial small subunit ribosomal RNA", at positions 28 to 523 of the family's 1533-position model. The record is from RNAcentral.
GAUGAACGCUGGCGGCGUGCCUAAUACAUGCAAGUCGAGCGAAUGGAUUAAGAGCUUGCUCUUAUGAAGUUAGCGGCGGACGGGUGAGUAACACGUGGGUAACCUGCCCAUAAGACUGGGAUAACUCCGGGAAACCGGGGCUAAUACCGGAUAACAUUUUGAACCGCAUGGUUCGAAAUUGAAAGGCGGCUUCGGCUGUCACUUAUGGAUGGACCCGCGUCGCAUUAGCUAGUUGGUGAGGUAACGGCUCACCAAGGCAACGAGGCGUAGCCGACCUGGGAGGGUGAGCGGCCAAACUGGGACUGAGACACGGCCCAGACUCCUACGGGAGGCAGCAGUAGGGAAUCUUCCGCAAUGGACGAAAGUCUGACGGAGCAACGCCGCGUGAGUGAUGAAGGCUUUCGGGUCGUAAAACUCUGUUGUUAGGGAAGAACAAGUGCUAGUUGAAUAAGCUGGCACCUUGACGGUACCUACCAGAAAGCCACGGCUAACUACGUGCCAGCAGCCGCAGUAA